RNAcentral lists this ribosomal RNA (44 nucleotides) under Pleurocarpaea denticulata. Its description in RNAcentral is "partial 28S ribosomal RNA". The record is from RNAcentral. Lineage: Eukaryota; Viridiplantae; Streptophyta; Magnoliopsida; Asterales; Asteraceae.
UNSGCGACCCCCGGGUCAAGGCGGGACUACUCCGCUGAGUUAAA